Molecule: long non-coding RNA, 617 nt
Organism: Musca domestica (house fly)
Lineage: Eukaryota; Metazoa; Arthropoda; Insecta; Diptera; Muscidae
Exons: 2
Source: RefSeq, a predicted model, not a curated record
ACAGCCUGUUCCACGAUGUCGAAAGAACACGUUCGCACAACUUUUACACGACAAACAGCUGAUUUCCGUUCCACUAAAAUCCAUCAGAACGAAAAUUUGCACGAAAAUCAAAGCGAACGAAAACGUAAGCGUUUCAGUGUAAUUUUGCGUUCCACUAUCUUUUUUCUUUCGUACGCAUGCGAACACAAAUGUCAAAAUCAGUCACUUGUGUGUUUGCUGUCGAAUGAUAAAAAUUAAGGAAAAUUGUUUUAACAUAAACAUUCCUUGAUUGAAAAUGGAAAGAAAAAUCACGAAAAAACUACACAGCUGCGGGCAAUAGUUGAGUAUAUGGGGGAGAAUCCUAAGUUCGGCAGAGGAGUGCCAAUUUUUGGAAGCAGCAGGCAAUCCCAUGAAGACCACUGGAAGACACAAACCUAGAAAAAAUCAUUUUUUUAUUAUUUCAAAAAUGUAAAAAUACAAUCAUACUUACUGGUUGUUAGGUACUUCAAAUAAAUUCGAAGCAUCUCUUAAAUGCCUCCGUGGCACAAUUUGAACCUCCUCCUCAUCAUCCAUAAAAAAUAGGGCUACAGAAAUAUACAUUUUUUUCUUUUUUAAGAACACAAAUAAUCUGAACACAA